AGUGAACGCUGGCGGUAGGCCUAACACAUGCAAGUCGAACGGCAGCACAGUAAGAGCUUGCUCUUACGGGUGGCGAGUGGCGGACGGGUGAGGAAUACAUCGGAAUCUACUUUUUCGUGGGGGAUAACGUAGGGAAACUUACGCUAAUACCGCAUACGACCUACGGGUGAAAGCAGGGGAUCUUCGGACCUUGCGCGAUUGAAUGAGCCGAUGUCGGAUUAGCUAGUUGGCGGGGUAAAGGCCCACCAAGGCGACGAUCCGUAGCUGGUCUGAGAGGAUGAUCAGCCACACUGGAACUGAGACACGGUCAAGAGUACUACGGGAGGCAGCAGUGGGGAAUAUUGGACAAUGGGCGCAAGCCUGAUCCAGCCAUACCGCGUGGGUGAAGAAGGCCUUCGGGUUGUAAAGCCCUUUUGUUGGGAAAGAAAAGCAGCAGGUUAAUACCCCGCUGUUCUGACGGUACCCAAAGAAUAAGCACCGGCUAACUUCGUG
This 492-nucleotide ribosomal RNA is filed under the name uncultured bacterium. Its description in RNAcentral is "partial 16S ribosomal RNA". It matches the Rfam family "Bacterial small subunit ribosomal RNA", at positions 29 to 507 of the family's 1533-position model. The record is from RNAcentral.